Molecule: ribosomal RNA, 253 nt
Filed under: uncultured bacterium
Lineage: Bacteria
Description: partial 16S ribosomal RNA
Rfam family: Bacterial small subunit ribosomal RNA
Source: RNAcentral
UACGUAGGGUGCGAGCGUUGCCCGGAUUUAUUGGGCGUAAAGGGCGCGUAGGCGGCUCGGCACGUCCGUUGUGAAAUCGCCCGGCUCAACUGGGCGGGGUCAGCGGAUACGGUCGAGCUUGAGCAAGCUAGGGGGCAAUGGAAUUUCCUGUGUAGCGGUGAAAUGCGUAGAUAUAGGAAGGAAUACCAGUGGCGAAGGCGGCCUCCUGGAUCGACACUGACGCUGAGGCGCGAAAGCGUGGGGAGCAAACAGG